UGCAACUAGGUGGGGCCUAGUGGGAGAUCUUCAGGUCCCUGGGGGCAUGUCCUUGAAGGGGCCUUUGGGACCCUGCUCUACUUUCUCUUUGCUUUCUGGCCAUGAGGUCAGCAGUGUGGCUCCACUUCAUGUCCGUGCCUUCCCACAGCCUACAAGGAAGGGGGCCAACCAAUCAUGGACUCCAAAACCUUAGCUCACAACCUUUUUGUCUUUACAAGUUGAUUAUCUUAGAUAUUUAUUACAGUAAGGGAAAACUGACUAAUAGACAGUAGGACACCAUUCCAACAAUUCUUGCUCCAAAUACCACAAAUCUAGGUAAAACGUGUCAGCCAACUCUGCACCCUGAAGAUCAUCCCAAUUUCUUCCUUUUCCCACUCAUUACAACUGAAAGACAGAUGUGUUGAGUUCUGAGUCCAGAUAGUACUUCUACCAGAAAGUCUCAAUUUGCAGAGACUCACACAAUUGCAGCUUGCACCCACCCUCCAUUUGGUGCCUUCCCCUUUUCUCAUGUUCCAAAUUGAGUUUCUCUCUGUAUCACUGUCUCCCAGGCAGCCUCACAGUCUGACCCAGCACUGAUCUUUCCAUUAUCAUGAGCAUUCCCCAAACCACAUUAGAAACCACAAAACCCUUUCUUGUUCUCGCAGAAGCGCAGAGUCUAAGAAAUUACACUUCAUUAAUUGUAGAUUACCUCGUCUUCUUAAAAACCAUAGUUGCCGUUCUUGGACUUCUUAGGAGCAUAGGAACCUUGAGAGGUCAAGGUGUUAGUUACAUCACCUAUUAAUAAUUUUUUAAGAACAUGGAAGAAUCCCCAAAAGUGCUGAAUUCACUUAAAACAAUAACAACAAGAGAAAACAACCCCCAAACUCACUAAACUCUGCCCCCAGCUAUUAGGAUUUAGGGAAGGUUUUUGUUUAUUUGUUUGUUUGUUUAUUUUACUGUAUGGAGGACUGCAUCCAGAGUUUUCCACAAGUGCUCUACCACUGAGUUACACCCCCAGUCCAGUUAAGGUAAACCUGAAGCCCAUCUGUCAAUCAUCUCAGAAGCACACUUGAGUCCUCAUACUAUAGAAGAAAAUUGGCUGUGAGUCUAAUAAAGGGACUGGAUACCUUGAAGACCACAGGUUAAAUGUGAAUAUAAACACUAAGAGGGGGCUGGGGAUGUGGCUCAAGCGGUAGCGCGUUCGCCUGGCAUGCAUGCGGCCCGGGUUUGAUCCUCAGCACCACAUACAAAAAAAGAUGUUGUGUCCGCC
This 1249-nucleotide long non-coding RNA is filed under the name Marmota monax (woodchuck). The record is from RNAcentral. Lineage: Eukaryota; Metazoa; Chordata; Mammalia; Rodentia; Sciuridae.